Molecule: ribosomal RNA, 254 nt
Filed under: uncultured bacterium
Lineage: Bacteria
Description: partial 16S ribosomal RNA
Rfam family: Bacterial small subunit ribosomal RNA
Source: RNAcentral
UACGGGCGGGGCGAGCGUUAUUCGGAUUCAUUGGGCGUAAAGGGCGCGCAGGCGGCAUAGUAAGUCAGAGGUGAAAUCUCCACGGCUCAACCGGGAAAUUGCCUUUGGUACUGCUGUGCUUGAGUACGGUAGAGGCAAGCGGAAUUCUCAGUGUAGCGGUGAAAUGCGUAGAUAUUGGGAGGAACACCGGUGGCGAAGGCGGCUUGCUGGGCCGUAACUGACGCUGAGGCGCGAAAGCCAGGGGAGCGAACGGG